Long non-coding RNA from Lycium barbarum (goji berry), 615 nucleotides. RefSeq lists it as uncharacterized. NCBI's taxonomy places the organism in Eukaryota, Viridiplantae, Streptophyta, Magnoliopsida, Solanales, Solanaceae. The record is from RefSeq and is a predicted model, not a curated record. The transcript has 3 exons.
UAAAACCUAGAUGGACAUACAUCACCGCCGCAAUGACCUAAGAAUCAUAAUCAAUUUCUUCACGUUAAAAAUCCUACAAGCGCAGCCGCAACUUUUCCAAAAAAAAAAAAAGAAACUCACCAAACCCUUUUUUUUUGCCUCAUGUACGACCCAUCGAAAACAGCCAUGUAAACCAGUGACAACACCAAACCGUUGACAUCUAGACCUAGCUAUCAUCUUCUUCACUAAAGAAAGAGAAACUUUAGAAUGGUAGCAACUUAAGAGCAGGAGAAGCAGUUAGCAAAAAUGAUUAAAAAUGUGUGGAGAAGUUUUUGACGAAACGGGAUUUGAGCUUUGGCGAUCGUAAAAGGCAAGAAAGGUACAGACGACAGGUUUGCUGAUCCGCUCGCUUAGGACUUUAUUCCGCUAUUUUGGAGCGCUCUUUUAUCCGGAGCCUACAUCUUGGUAUAGCCUUCUGUUAUUGUGUAUAUAUACGCCAUUCAGGGGUACGACGGGGCCUUGUCCCGCCUUAUGAUUCUGUUAUGUUCUGUAGAGGUCUGUAGACACACAUGUGGGUUCUGUAUAUGCUUUUGGGUUGUUAUGAUCUGUGAUGGCCUUAUCGGCUUCUACGUGUUA